This is a small nucleolar RNA of Brassica oleracea var. oleracea, 107 nucleotides long. It matches the Rfam family "Plant small nucleolar RNA R71". From Rfam's summary of the family: R71 is a member of the C/D box family of snoRNAs containing the C (UGAUGA) and D (CUGA) box motifs. Multiple nearly identical copies of this snoRNA have been identified in Arabidopsis, and it is thought to function as a 2'-O-ribose methylation guide for 18S ribosomal RNA. NCBI's taxonomy places the organism in Eukaryota, Viridiplantae, Streptophyta, Magnoliopsida, Brassicales, Brassicaceae. The record is from Rfam.
AAGCCAUGAUGUGGGCAUUGAGACCAAUAGCCCUUGAACCUCACCCAUGCUUCACUAAAUCCCUCUAAGUUCUUCUGCUGAACGCUAGAGAUCUCAUUCCUGAUCUU